RNAcentral lists this transfer RNA (67 nucleotides) under Schrankia costaestrigalis (pinion-streaked snout moth). RNAcentral describes it as "tRNA-Trp". The record is from RNAcentral. Lineage: Eukaryota; Metazoa; Arthropoda; Insecta; Lepidoptera; Erebidae.
AAGGUUUUAAGUUAAAAAAACUAAUAAUCUUCAAAAUUAUAUAUAAAGAAAUUUUCUUUAAGCCUUA